Molecule: unclassified non-coding RNA, 335 nt
Filed under: soil metagenome
Description: partial contains 5.8S ribosomal RNA, internal transcribed spacer 2, and large subunit ribosomal RNA
Rfam family: 5.8S ribosomal RNA (bases 2-120)
Source: RNAcentral
UAUGAAGAACGCAGCGAAAUGCGAUAAGUAAUGUGAAUUGCAGAAUUCAGUGAAUCAUCGAAUCUUUGAACGCACAUUGCGCCCAUUAGUAUUCUAGUGGGCAUGCCUGUUCGAGCGUCAUUUCAACCCUUAAGCCUAGCUUAGUAUUGGGAAUCGACUUUACUGUCGUUCCUCAAAUUCAACGGCGGAUUUAUAGCAAUCUCUGAACGUAGUAAUUUUUUUCCUCGUUUUUGAAAUACUAUAAACCUCAGCCGCUAAACCCCCAAUUUUUCUAUGGUUGACCUCGGAUCAGGUAGGAAUACCCGCUGAACUUAAGCAUAUCAAUAAGCGGAGGA